This 246-nucleotide ribosomal RNA is filed under the name uncultured bacterium. Its description in RNAcentral is "partial small subunit ribosomal RNA". It matches the Rfam family "Bacterial small subunit ribosomal RNA", at positions 26 to 285 of the family's 1533-position model. The record is from RNAcentral.
AGAAUCAACGCUGGCGGCGUGCCUAACACAUGCAAGUCGCACGAGAAAGGGUAGCAAUACCUGAGUACAGUGGCGCACGGGUGAGUAACACGUGACUAACCUACCCUCGAGUGGGGAAUAAACCUAGGGAAACCUGGGCUAAUACCGCAUAACACUUACGAGUCAAAGCAGCAAUGCGCUUGGGGAGGGGGUCGCGGCCGAUUAGCUAGUUGGCGGGGUAAUGGCCCACCAAGGCAAUGAUCGGUA